Molecule: ribosomal RNA, 393 nt
Filed under: uncultured bacterium
Lineage: Bacteria
Description: partial 16S ribosomal RNA
Rfam family: Bacterial small subunit ribosomal RNA
Source: RNAcentral
AUACGGAGGAUGCGAGCGUUAUCCGGAUUUAUUGGGUUUAAAGGGUGCGUAGGCUGUGCGUUAAGUCAGGGGUGAAAUGCCGUCGCUCAACGACGGAGCUGCCCUUGAUACUGGCGUGCUGGAGUACGGAUGCCGUUGGAGGAAUGAGUGGUGUAGCGGUGAAAUGCUUAGAUAUCAGUCAGAACACCGAUUGCGAAGGCAUCUGACGAAUCCGUCACUGACGCUGAGGCACGAAAGCGUGGGGAUAGAACAGGAUUAGAUGCCCUGGUAUUCCACGCCGUAAACGAUGAUGACUAACCGUCGGCGAUAGACGGCCGGUGGCCAAGCGAAAGCGAUAAGUCAUCCACCUGGGGAGUACGGCGGCAACGAUGAAACUCAAAUGAAUUGACGGGG